RNAcentral lists this ribosomal RNA (504 nucleotides) under Bacillus pumilus. Its description in RNAcentral is "bacterial SSU rRNA". It matches the Rfam family "Bacterial small subunit ribosomal RNA", at positions 38 to 526 of the family's 1533-position model. The record is from RNAcentral. Lineage: Bacteria; Bacillati; Bacillota; Bacilli; Caryophanales; Bacillaceae.
GGCGGCGUGCCUAAUACAUGCAGUCGAGCGGACAGAAGGGAGCUUGCUCCCGGAUGUUAGCGGCGGACGGGUGAGUAACACGUGGGUAACCUGCCUGUAAGACUGGGAUAACUCCGGGAAACCGGAGCUAAUACCGGAUAGUUCCUUGAACCGCAUGGUUCAAGGAUGAAAGACGGUUUCGGCUGUCACUUACAGAUGGACCCGCGGCGCAUUAGCUAGUUGGUGGGGUAAUGGCUCACCAAGGCGACGAUGCGUAGCCGACCUGAGAGGGUGAUCGGCCACACUGGGACUGAGACACGGCCCAGACUCCUACGGGAGGCAGCAGUAGGGAAUCUUCCGCAAUGGACGAAAGUCUGACGGAGCAACGCCGCGUGAGUGAUGAAGGUUUUCGGAUCGUAAAGCUCUGUUGUUAGGGAAGAACAAGUGCGAGAGUAACUGCUCGCACCUUGACGGUACCUAACCAGAAAGCCACGGCUAACUACGUGCCAGCAGCCGGUCAAAUAU